RNAcentral lists this ribosomal RNA (118 nucleotides) under Pteropus alecto (black flying fox). RNAcentral also lists the same sequence under 1 other name. Lineage: Eukaryota; Metazoa; Chordata; Mammalia; Chiroptera; Pteropodidae. The record is from RNAcentral.
GUCUACUGCCAUGCUACCCUGAACUAGCCCGAUCUCAUCUGAUCUCAGAAGCUAAGCAGGGUCAGGCCGGUUAGUACUUGGAUGGGAGACCACUUAGGAAGACCAGGUACUGUAGGCA